Molecule: transfer RNA, 71 nt
Filed under: Hyalosaurus koellikeri (Koelliker's glass lizard)
Lineage: Eukaryota; Metazoa; Chordata; Lepidosauria; Squamata; Anguidae
Description: tRNA-Gln
Source: RNAcentral
CUAGAAAAACAGGAAUUGAACCUGAACCAGAAAACUCAAAACUUUCUGUACUCCCACUAUACUAUUUCCUA